ACCCUCGGGUGACAGGGAGACAGGUGGUGCAUGGUUGUCGUCAGCUCGUGUCGUGAGAUGUUGGGUUAAGUCCCGCAACGAGCGCAACCCCUACGUUUAGUUGCUAACGCGUGAAGGCGAGCACUCUAGACGAACUGCCGUUGACAAACGGAGGAAGUGGGAUGACGUCAAAUCAUCAUGCCCCUUAUGUUCUGGGCUACACACGUGCUACAAUGGCCGGUACAGACGGACGCAAAGCCGCGAGGUGGAGCAAAUCCUAAAAAGCCGGUCUCAGUUCGGAUUGCAGGCUGCAAUUCGCCUGCAUGAAGUCGGAAUCGCUAGUAAUCGCAGGUCAGCAUACUGCGGUGAAUACGUUCCCGGGCCUU
Molecule: ribosomal RNA, 365 nt
Filed under: uncultured Pelotomaculum sp.
Lineage: Bacteria; Bacillati; Bacillota; Clostridia; Eubacteriales; Desulfotomaculaceae
Description: bacterial SSU rRNA
Rfam family: Bacterial small subunit ribosomal RNA
Source: RNAcentral